ACACCGGCUAGCUCAGUCGGUAGAGCAUGAGACUCUUAAUCUCAGGGUUGUGGGUUCCAGCCCCAUGUUGGGUG
This 74-nucleotide transfer RNA is filed under the name Podarcis lilfordi (Lilford's wall lizard). Its description in RNAcentral is "tRNA.Lys". It matches the Rfam family "tRNA". Rfam says of the family: Transfer RNA (tRNA) molecules are approximately 80 nucleotides in length. The record is from RNAcentral. Lineage: Eukaryota; Metazoa; Chordata; Lepidosauria; Squamata; Lacertidae.